AGUACUGUUCGUCUAGAUAACAUCCAGCAGUACCCACACGACCUUGCAUGCAAGUUGCAUGCAAAGUUUUGUCUGUCUAGUUUUUCUAUUUGUCGGUUAGUCUUGAGGUGAUAUUGCUCCGUGUUCGUUGUUGAUCGAAGAUCUAGCUGUUUUGGCGCUCCAGAACACACCUUUUGAUGCUACCUUCCCUGACAAAUGCAGCUUUAGCUGAAAAGCCCCCGGACAUGAAAACUGUAUUUUCUAAUCCCCUGAAGAAGACCGCAUAUCGCGUCGAAACGUCGGAAUAAAGAAAAAACUACAAGUUUUUGAAUUUUGUCUCUGACUGCUGAGCCGAAAAACAACCUAAUUGUG
Long non-coding RNA from Culex quinquefasciatus (southern house mosquito), 351 nucleotides. RefSeq lists it as uncharacterized. The transcript has 3 exons. The record is from RefSeq and is a predicted model, not a curated record. Lineage: Eukaryota; Metazoa; Arthropoda; Insecta; Diptera; Culicidae.